GUAGGGUCCGAGCGUUGUCCGGAAUUAUUGGGCGUAAAGGGCUCGUAGGCGGUUUGUCGCGUCGGGAGUGAAAACAUAGGGCUUAACUGUGAGCUUGCUUUCGAUACGGGCAGACUUGAGGUAUUCAGGGGAGAACGGAAUUCCUGGUGUAGCGGUGAAAUGCGCAGAUAUCAGGAGGAACACCGGUGGCGAAGGCGGUUCUCUGGGAAUGACCUGACGCUGAGGAGCGAAAGUGUGGGGAGCGAACAGGAUUAGAUACCCUGGUAGUCCACACCGUAAACGUUGGGCGCUAGGUGUGGGAUCCAUUCCACGGGUUCCGUGCCGCAGCUAACGCAUUAAGCGCCCCGCCUGGGGAGUACGGCCGCAAGGCUA
RNAcentral lists this ribosomal RNA (372 nucleotides) under uncultured bacterium. Its description in RNAcentral is "bacterial SSU rRNA". It matches the Rfam family "Bacterial small subunit ribosomal RNA", at positions 527 to 896 of the family's 1533-position model. The record is from RNAcentral.